GACGAACGCUGGCGGCGUGCUUAACACAUGCAAGUCGAACGAAGAGCGAUGGAAGCUUGCUUCUAUCAAUCUUAGUGGCGAACGGGUGAGUAACGCGUAAUCAACCUGCCCUUCAGAGGGGGACAACAGUUGGAAACGACUGCUAAUACCGCAUACGAUCUAAUCUCGGCAUCGAGGAUAGAUGAAAGGUGGCCUCUACAUGUAAGCUAUCACUGAAGGAGGGGAUUGCGUCUGAUUAGCUAGUUGGAGGGGUAACGGCCCACCAAGGCGAUGAUCAGUAGCCGGUCUGAGAGGAUGAACGGCCACAUUGGGACUGAGACACGGCCCAGACUCCUACGGGAGGCAGCAGUGGGGAAUCUUCCGCAAUGGACGAAAGUCUGACGGAGCAACGCCGCGUGAGUGAUGACGGCCUUCGGGUUGUAAAGCUCUGUUAAUCGGGACGAAAGGCCUUCUUGCGAAUAGUGAGAAGGAUUGACGGUACCGGAAUAGAAAGCACGGCUAACUACGUG
This 509-nucleotide ribosomal RNA is filed under the name uncultured bacterium. RNAcentral's name for it is "partial 16S ribosomal RNA". It matches the Rfam family "Bacterial small subunit ribosomal RNA", at positions 28 to 507 of the family's 1533-position model. The record is from RNAcentral.